Molecule: long non-coding RNA, 1304 nt
Filed under: Oreochromis niloticus (Nile tilapia)
Lineage: Eukaryota; Metazoa; Chordata; Actinopteri; Cichliformes; Cichlidae
Description: lncRNA (ENSONIG00000030009.1)
Source: RNAcentral
UUUGUCUGUUUUAGGGCGUGAUCGCUGCCUUCACCUCCGUGGCAACUCACACAGCCUUAAGUGAAGAAUCAAGACACCUGCCUAGCCGUUGUUGUGAGGGCUCCUCCUCAGUGGAGCCUGCUGUCUUGUCUUGUUUGGUUUUGAAUUGUUUUACCUUGUCUUAUUUGGUUUUAUUAAGUAGGCCUACCAUUUCCUGGUUCGCCUGGUUUUAUUUUAUUUUAUCUCUGGAUUGUUACGUGUGCCCACGCUUCUGUGAUCGGGCUGAAGCAAUUCUUUGCCCGAGUGUCGUGCCGGGGAUUUUAAAUUGCCCCCGUUGCUGGUCUUAGCCUGUGGGGAGCCAGACCAGCUCGCGAUUGAGGCUGGGACCAUUACUACCAGUACGAGUGGACCCGCGGGGCACAAGCCUUCCUGUGUGUUGAACGGAGGACGUACCAGUGGCCCUGGGACCUUAGGUGGUGGGUCGUUUUCACACUUUCUUUUGUACAGCACCGGGUGGGCUGCAGUGAUUUUCGUUUUGUGUGAUUUUCUUUUGGGUCCACGGCUGCUGGUGAGUCCAAGUUCUAUGAUUGUUUUAUUUUCACGUUAAGACACUGUCAACAAUGACGCUACAUUUUGGUUUUUAAUAUUUUAUUUAUUUUUAUUAUAAAUAAACUGUUUUAAUAUUGGAGCCAACCUGCCUCGGAGUGCAUCCUUGAAUCUGUGCGGCCUCUUUUUAUUCCUUUUAUUUAUUUUUCUUAAAUAUAUUUCCUAGGGGUGAAAAUCCCCUAGGUGGCGUUGUCAUUUUAUUUCCUUUUAUCUAACCCCACCGACCACUUGGUCACACUACCAUCAUGUCAGCUGCUCUUUUUAAGGCUCCCCCGACACCAUCUGGUCCUCCUUUUCCAUGACUAGCCUCGAAAAAAUUCCAAGAACCAGCCUUGAAUCCUCUUCUGUCCAGUUCUGUAGUGAAAAAUUAGAGGUUUCCUCGUUGUUUGUAUCGCGUACAGGGUCCGUCACUUAAAAAGUGCAGCACAGACACUUGUGGAUGUUGGCCUUGAAGGUAAUCUAGCACAGGAUUUAGGUGCUGCCAUAUUGCUGGAGGGCCUUUAUGUCUACUGGGGGAGAUGGUGCUAAAGCACAGAGGCUCUGAGAGUCCACCAACAUACAACACAACAGUAUGAAGGGUGGCCUGCUGAUGUGAAGCCCCAAAGUGGACCGCCUGAACUUGAGAACUGUAUUUACAGCUGUAGUUUUCUGAGAAGUCAACAUGUAUCAAAGCCUCCUCCCCUGACAUGUUGUUCUUCAGCUCACGGCAGAAGGCAUAC